CCCUCCGCUGCCCCGCGUCCUCACCCGCACUUGGUAUUGUGUGCUGGUGGGCGUGCCCCGCAGUGAGGCCGGUGGUCGCCAUUUGCGCUUGCUCCUGAAUGCAGAGGUUCCCACCCUAGCUCCGCUUUGCAAAGCAUCCUCAAGAGGCACAUUACUGGGACUGGGGUUGUGGCUCAGCGGUAGACGCUCACCUAGCAUGUGCAAGGUCCUGGGUUCAACCCUCAGCACCAUAUA
RNAcentral lists this long non-coding RNA (234 nucleotides) under Ictidomys tridecemlineatus (thirteen-lined ground squirrel). RNAcentral's name for it is "lncRNA (ENSSTOG00000029648.1)". Lineage: Eukaryota; Metazoa; Chordata; Mammalia; Rodentia; Sciuridae. The record is from RNAcentral.